GUAGUAGUAGUAGUAGUAGUAGUAGUAGUAGUAGUAGUAGUAGUAGUAGUAGUAGUAGUAGUAGUAGUAGUAGUAGUAGUAGUAGUAGUAGUAGUAGUAGUAGUAGUAGUAGUAGUAGUAGUAGUAGUAGUAGUAGUAGUAGUAGUAGUAGUAGUAGUAGUAGUAGUAGUAGUAGUAGUAGUAGUAGUAGUAGUAGUAGUAGUAGUAGUAGUAGUAGUAGUAGUAGUAGUAGUAGUAGUAGUAGUAGUAGUAGUAGUAGUAGUAGUAGUAGUAGUAGUAGUAGUAGUAGUAGUAGUAGUAGUAGUAGUAGUAGUAGUAGUAGUAGUAGUAGUAGUAGUAGUAGUAGUAGUAGUAGUAGUAGUAGUAGUAGUAGUAGUAGUAGUAGUAGUAGUAGUAGUAGUAGUAGUAGUAGUAGUAGUAGUAGUAGUAGUAGUAGUAGUAGUAGUAGUAGUAGUAGUAGUAGUAGUAGUAGUAGUAGUAGUAGUAGUAGUAGUAGUAGUAGUAGUAGUAGUAGUAGUAGUAGUAGUAGUAGUAGUAGUAGUAGUAGUAGUAGUAGUAGUAGUAGUAGUAGUAGUAGUAGUAGUAGUAGUAGUAGUAGUAGUAGUAGUAGUAGUAGUAGUAGUAGUAGUAGUAGUAGUAGUAGUAGUAGUAGUAGUAGUAGUAGUAGUAGUAGUAGUAGUAGUAGUAGUAGUAGUAGUAGUAGUAGUAGUAGUAGUAGUAGUAGUAGUAGUAGUAGUAGUAGUAGUAGUAGUAGUAGUAGUAGUAGUAGUAGUAGUAGUAGUAGUAGUAGUAGUAGUAGUAGUAGUAGUAGUAGUAGUAGUAGUAGUAGUAGUAGUAGUAGUAGUAGUAGUAGUAGUAGUAGUAGUAGUAGUAGUAGUAGUAGUAGUAGUAGUAGUAGUAGUAGUAGUAGUAGUAGUAGUAGUAGUAGUAGUAGUAGUAGUAGUAGUAGUAGUAGUAGUAGUAGUAGUAGUAGUAGUAGUAGUAGUAGUAGUAGUAGUAGUAGUAGUAGUAGUAGUAGUAGUAGUAGUAGUAGUAGUAGUAGUAGUAGUAGUAGUAGUAGUAGUAGUAGUAGUAGUAGUAGUAGUAGUAGUAGUAGUAGUAGUAGUAGUAGUAGUAGUAGUAGUAGUAGUAGUAGUAGUAGUAGUAGUAGUAGUAGUAGUAGUAGUAGUAGUAGUAGUAGUAGUAGUAGUAGUAGUAGUAGUAGUAGUAGUAGUAGUAGUAGUAGUAGUAGUAGUAGUAGUAGUAGUAGUAGUAGUAGUAGUAGUAGUAGUAGUAGUAGUAGUAGUAGUAGUAGUAGUAGUAGUAGUAGUAGUA
RNAcentral lists this long non-coding RNA (1314 nucleotides) under Helianthus annuus (common sunflower). Its description in RNAcentral is "hypothetical non coding rna". Lineage: Eukaryota; Viridiplantae; Streptophyta; Magnoliopsida; Asterales; Asteraceae. The record is from RNAcentral.